Molecule: ribosomal RNA, 429 nt
Filed under: uncultured Coprococcus sp.
Lineage: Bacteria; Bacillati; Bacillota; Clostridia; Lachnospirales; Lachnospiraceae
Description: partial 16S ribosomal RNA
Rfam family: Bacterial small subunit ribosomal RNA
Source: RNAcentral
ACGGAAGGCAGCAGUGGGGAAUAUUGCACAAUGGGGGAAACCCUGAUGCAGCAACGCCGCGUGAGUGAAGAAGUAUUUCGGUAUGUAAAGCUCUAUCAGCAGGGAAGAUAAUGACGGUACCUGACUAAGAAGCUCCGGCUAAAUACGUGCCAGCAGCCGCGGUAAUACGUAUGGAGCAAGCGUUAUCCGGAUUUACUGGGUGUAAAGGGUGUGUAGGCGGCAUGGCAAGUCAGAAGUGAAAGACCGGGGCUCAACUCCGGGGCUGCUUUUGAAACUGCUGUGCUGGAGUCCAGGAGGGGCAAGCGGAAUUCCUAGUGUAGCGGUGAAAUGCGUAGAUAUUAGGAAGAACACCGGUGGCGAAGGCGGCUUGCUGGACUGGAACUGACGCUGAGGCACGAAAGCGUGGGGAGCAAACAGGAUUAGAUACCC